UACGGAGGGUGCAAACGUUGCUCGGAAUUAUUGGGCGUAAAGCGCACGUAGGCGGUUCGUUAAGUUGGAUGUGAAAUCCCUGGGCUCAACCUAGGAACUGCAUUUGUGACUGCAUUGCUAGAGUGUGGUAGAGGGAGAUGGAAUUCCGCAUGUAGCAGUGAAAUGCGUAGAUAUGCGGAGGAACACCAAUGGCGAAGGCAAUCUCCUGGACCUGCACUGACGCUCAUGCACGAAAGCGUGGGGAGCAAACAGG
Molecule: ribosomal RNA, 253 nt
Filed under: uncultured bacterium
Lineage: Bacteria
Description: partial 16S ribosomal RNA
Rfam family: Bacterial small subunit ribosomal RNA
Source: RNAcentral